UACGGAGGGGGCCAGCGUUGUUCGGAAUCAUUGGGCGUAAAGGGCGCGUAGGCGGCUUGGUAAGUCCGUUGUGAAAUCCCUCGGCUCAACCGAGGAACUGCGACGGAUACUGCUUGGCUUGAGUCCCGGAGAGGGUAGCGGAAUUCCCAGUGUAGCGGUGAAAUGCGUAGAUAUUGGGAGGAACACCGGUGGCGAAGGCGGAUCUCUGGGCCUUACCUGACGCUCAGGCGCGAAAGCUAGGGGAGCGAACAGG
RNAcentral lists this ribosomal RNA (253 nucleotides) under uncultured bacterium. RNAcentral describes it as "partial 16S ribosomal RNA". It matches the Rfam family "Bacterial small subunit ribosomal RNA", at positions 524 to 776 of the family's 1533-position model. The record is from RNAcentral.